Molecule: ribosomal RNA, 428 nt
Filed under: uncultured bacterium
Lineage: Bacteria
Description: partial 16S ribosomal RNA
Rfam family: Bacterial small subunit ribosomal RNA
Source: RNAcentral
GUUAGGAAUAUUGGACAAUGGGCGAAAGCCUGAUCCAGCCAUGCCGCGUGAACGAUGAAGGCCUUCGGGUCGUAAAGCUCUGUCGCAGGGGAAUAACACAAUGAAGGUACCCUGUAAGAAAGGAUCGGCUAACUUCGUGCCAGCAGCCGCGGUAAGACGAGGGAUCCUAGCGUUGUUCGGAAUCAUUGGGCGUAAAGCGGAUGUAGGUGGCUAAGUAAGUCAGAUGUGAAAGCCUGGGGCUCAACCCCAGAAGUGCAUUUGAUACUGCGUAGCUGGAGUGUCGGAGAGGUUACUAGAAUUGUUGGUGUAGUGGUGAAAUACGUAGAUAUCAACAGGAAUACCGGAGGCGAAGGCGGGUAACUGGCCGAACACUGACACUGAGAUCCGAAAGCGUGGGGAUCAAACAGGAUUAGAAACCCCAGUAGUCC